CCCUCAUCCUCAGUUGCCAUCGGGUCAUGCCGGGCACUCUGAAGAAACUGCCGGUGACAAGCCGGAGGAAGGUGGGGAUGACGUCAAGUCCUCAUGGCCCUUACGGGCUGGGCUACACACGUGCUACAAUGGCGGUGACAAUGGGCAGCAAAAGCGCGAGCUUGAGCUAAUCCCCAAAAGCCGUCUCAGUUCGGAUUGUUCUCUGCAACUCGAGAGCAUGAAGUCGGAAUCGCUAGUAAUCGCGGAUCAGCAUGCCGCGGUGAAUACGUUCCCGGGCCUUGNACACA
This 287-nucleotide ribosomal RNA is filed under the name uncultured bacterium. RNAcentral describes it as "partial 16S ribosomal RNA". It matches the Rfam family "Bacterial small subunit ribosomal RNA", at positions 1102 to 1389 of the family's 1533-position model. The record is from RNAcentral.